Molecule: ribosomal RNA, 549 nt
Filed under: Candidatus Glomeribacter gigasporarum
Lineage: Bacteria; Pseudomonadati; Pseudomonadota; Betaproteobacteria; Burkholderiales; Burkholderiaceae
Description: bacterial LSU rRNA
Rfam family: Bacterial large subunit ribosomal RNA
Source: RNAcentral
GCCAUAGCAAACUCCGAAUACCAAAGAGUGGAAUCACGGGAGACAGACAUCGGGUGCUAACGUCCGGUGUCAAGAGGGCAACAACCCAGACCGCCAGCUAAGGUCCCGAAGAUUGGCUCAGUGGGGAACGUAGUGGGAAGGCUCAGACAGUCAGGAGGUUGGCUUAGAAGCAGCCAUCCUUUAAAGAAAGCGUAAUAGCUCACUGAUCGAGUCGUCCUGCGCGGAAGAUGUAACGGGGCUUAAGCCAGUCACCGAAGCUGCGGGUAUCAGAGAACUCCUCUGAUACGGUAGGAGAGCGUUCCGUAGGCCUGUGAAGGUGCAUUGAGAAAUGUACUGGAGGUAUCGGAAGUGCGAAUGCUGACAUGAGUAACGUUAAAGGGGGUGAAGUGCCCCCUCGCCGUAAGCCCAAGGUUUCCUGCGCAACGUUCAUCGGCGCAGGGUGAGUCGGCCCCUAAGGCGAGGCAGAAAUGCGUAGCUGAUGGGAAGCAGGUGAAGAUUCCUGCACCGUCGUAAGAAUGCGAUGGGGGGACGGAUCGCGGAAGGUUGUCC